This 459-nucleotide ribosomal RNA is filed under the name uncultured bacterium. Its description in RNAcentral is "partial 16S ribosomal RNA". It matches the Rfam family "Bacterial small subunit ribosomal RNA", at positions 338 to 795 of the family's 1533-position model. The record is from RNAcentral.
CCUACGGGCGGCAGCAGUGAGGAAUAUUGGUCAAUGGGCGCGAGCCUGAACCAGCCAAGUCGCGUGAGGGAAGACGGUCCUAUGGAUUGUAAACCUCUUUUGUCGGGGAGCAAAAGACGCCACGCGUGGCGUUCCGAGAGUACCCGAAGAAAAAGCAUCGGCUAACUCCGUGCCAGCAGCCGCGGUAAUACGGAGGAUGCGAGCGUUAUCCGGAUUUAUUGGGUUUAAAGGGUGCGCAGGCGGAAGAUCAAGUCAGCGGUAAAAUUGAGGGGCUCAACCUCUUCGAGCCGUUGAAACUGGUUUUCUUGAGUGGGCGAGAGGUAUGCGGAAUGCGUGGUGUAGCGGUGAAAUGCAUAGAUAUCGCGCAGAACUCCGAUUGCGAAGGCAGCAUGCCGGCGCUCAACUGACGCUCAUGCACGAAAGUGUGGGUAUCGAACAGGAUUAGAUACCCCGGUAGUC